CCUACGGGAGGCUGCAGUGGGGAAUAUUGGACAAUGGGGGCAACCCUGAUCCAGCCAUGCCGCGUGUGUGAAGAAGGCCCUCGGGUUGUAAAGCACUUUCAGUGAGGAAGAACGCCUGGUGGUUAAUACCCAUCAGGAAAGACAUCACUCACAGAAGAAGCACCGGCUAACUCCGUGCCAGCAGCCGCGGUAAUACGGAGGGUGCGAGCGUUAAUCGGAAUUACUGGGCGUAAAGCGCGCGUAGGUGGCUUGAUAAGCCGGUUGUGAAAGCCCCGGGCUCAACCUGGGAACUGCAUCCAGAACUGUCAAGCUAGAGUGCAGGAGAGGAAGGUAGAAUUCCCGGUGUAGCGGUGAAAUGCGUAGAGAUCGGGAGGAAUACCAGUGGCGAAGGCGGCCUUCUGGACUGACACUGACACUGAGGUGCGAAAGCGUGGGUAGCAAACAGGAUUAGAUACCCCAGUAGUC
This 465-nucleotide ribosomal RNA is filed under the name Vreelandella stevensii. RNAcentral's name for it is "partial 16S ribosomal RNA". It matches the Rfam family "Bacterial small subunit ribosomal RNA", at positions 338 to 795 of the family's 1533-position model. Lineage: Bacteria; Pseudomonadati; Pseudomonadota; Gammaproteobacteria; Oceanospirillales; Halomonadaceae. The record is from RNAcentral.